ACUCACCACCACUGUCACCAAAAUGAACUGGCAGCUUAACGUCUUCUACGAGGUGUUCAUCGAGGAGGGCACUUUCCUCUUCACCUCAGAGUCUGUGGGGGAAGGCCAUCCAGAUAAGAUUUGUGACCAGAUCAAUGAUGCUGUCCUUGAUGCCAACCUUCAGCAGGACCCAGAUGCCAAAGUGGCUUGUGAAACUAUUGCUAAAACUGGAAUGAUCCUUCUUGGUGGAGAAAUUACAUACAGAGCUGCUGUUGACUACCAGAAAGUAGUUCAUGAAAUCAUUAAACACAUUGACUAUGAUGACUCUUCCAAAGGGGUUUGACUACAAGACUUCUAAUGUUUUGGUAGCCUUGGAGCAACAGUCACCAGACAUUGCUCAAAGCUGUUCAUCUUGAUCAGAAUGAGGAGGACACUGGUGCAGGAGAGCAGGGCUUGAUGUUUGGUUAUGACACUGAUGAAACUGAAGAAUGUAUGCCUUUAACAAUUGUCUUAGUACACAGGAUCAAUGCCAAACUUGCUGAACUACACCACAAUGACACUUUGCCUUGGUUGCACCCAGAAUCUAAAACUCAAGUGACUGUGCAGUAUGUGCAGGAUCGAGACGCUGUGCUUCCCAUCAAAGUCCAUAUAAUUGUUCCGCAUAAUGAAGAAGUUUGUCUUGAUGAGCUGAGGGAUGCUCUAAAGGAGAAAAUCAUCAAAGCAGUUGUACCUGUGAAGUAUCUUGAUGAGGGCACAAUCCACCACCUACAGUCAAGUGGCAGAUUUAUUAUUGGUGGGCCUCAGGGUGAUGCUGGUUUGACUGGCCAGAAGAUCAUUGUGGACACUUACGGUGGUUGGGGAGCUCACAGAGGAGGUGCCUUUUCAGGAAAGGAUUAUACCAAGGUGCACAGUUGAACUGCUUAUGCUGCUCGUUGGGUGGCAAAAUCCCUUGCUAAAGGAGGUCUGUGCAGAAGGGUUCUUGUUCAGGUCUCUUAUGCUAUUGGAGUUUCUCACCCAGUCUAUCUCCAUUUUCCAUUAUGGCACCUCUCAGAAGAGUGAGAGAGAGCUAUUACAGAUCGUGAAGAAGAAUUUUGACUUCCGCCCUGGGGUCAUUGUCAGGGAUCUGGAUCUGAAGAAGCCAAUUUAUCAGAGGACUGAAGCCUAUGGCCACUUUGGUAGGGACGGCUUCCCAUGGGAAAUUCCCAAAAAGCUUAAAUAUUGAAAAGCGUUAGCCUUUUUUCCCCAGACUUGUUGGCGUAGGCUACAGAGAAGCCUUCAAGCUCUCAGGGAAAGGGCCCUUCUUCUGAAAUUUUUCUGUCCUCUUUCAGCUCCUGAUCAGUUGCAGUCACUGUAGUUAAUGACAUGAAUUUUAGUUUUUGUGGGGUAUUGUAUAAGCUGAGCUUGCUACUCUAUCCCUGGUGUUUUGUUCAUCAUUAUAAUGAAUUUGGUGAGCAUAGGUGAUCCAACUGCCUAGGAACAGACAACACUGUAGUAAAUAAUGCUUUGAAAUUGAGCCUUUGUGGCCUACCACCUAAACCUCUAAAAUCCUAAUUGCGUUGAAUUUC
RNA transcript from Trichechus manatus latirostris (Florida manatee), 1544 nucleotides. It is a transcript of the gene named S-adenosylmethionine synthase pseudogene, with no coding region annotated. The record is from RefSeq and is a predicted model, not a curated record. Lineage: Eukaryota; Metazoa; Chordata; Mammalia; Sirenia; Trichechidae. The transcript has a single exon.